GACCAACCCUUAAAGACUGCUACAUCUUUAGGAUAUUCUAGUCCAACAUCGAGGUCACAAACUCUCUUUUCGAUAAGGACUCUCAAAGAGAAUUAUGCUGUUAUCCCUAUGGUAACUAAUUUCAUUAAUCAAAAUUUCUGGAUCAACACUUGUAAGUCUUAUUGUUUAAUAAAGAAGCUUUAUUUGUUCCAUAGUCGCCCCAACCAAAAUCUAAAAUAGAUUAAUAUUUAAAAUUAUAUAUUGUUUUCAAUUUACUCUUUUAAAGCUCAAUAGGGUCUUCUUGUCUUUCAAUUAAAUCUAGGUUUCCUCACCUAGAAAUCAAAUUCUAAAAAAUUACAUAGAGACAGCUUUGUUCACGUCAAACCAUUCAUACUAGCCCUCAAUUAUAGGGCAAAUGAUUAUGCUACCUUUGCACGGUCAGAGUACCGCGGCCGUUAAAAUAUAUUCACUGGGCAGGUCCGACUC
Molecule: ribosomal RNA, 465 nt
Filed under: Erronea caurica elongata
Lineage: Eukaryota; Metazoa; Mollusca; Gastropoda; Littorinimorpha; Cypraeidae
Description: partial 16S large subunit ribosomal RNA
Source: RNAcentral